AUGUACCACUCGUACAGUGUGGUUCUGAGCGCGGCGUCCGCGCCCACCUGAUAGCUUCUGGCUACGUUUUGUUAGCC
RNAcentral lists this small RNA (77 nucleotides) under Xanthomonas oryzae. RNAcentral describes it as "sX9". It matches the Rfam family "Xanthomonas sRNA sX9". Lineage: Bacteria; Pseudomonadati; Pseudomonadota; Gammaproteobacteria; Lysobacterales; Lysobacteraceae. RNAcentral also lists the same sequence under 1 other name. The record is from RNAcentral.